UACGUAGGGUGCGAGCGUUGUCCGGAUUUAUUGGGCGUAAAGAGCUCGUAGGUGGUUUGAUAAGUCGGAUGUGAAAUCUCCAGGCUCAACCUGGAGCUGCCAUUCGAUACUGUCAUGACUUGAGUCCGGUAGGGGACCACGGAAUUCCUGGUGUAGCGGUGAAAUGCGCAGAGAUCAGGAGGAACACCGGUGGCGAAGGCGGUGGUCUGGGCCGGAACUGACGCUGAGGAGCGAAAGCGUGGGUAGCAAACAGG
Molecule: ribosomal RNA, 254 nt
Filed under: uncultured bacterium
Lineage: Bacteria
Description: partial 16S ribosomal RNA
Rfam family: Bacterial small subunit ribosomal RNA
Source: RNAcentral